GACGAACGCUGGCGGCGUGCCUAAUACAUGCAAGUAGAACGCUGAAGAGAGGAGCUUGCUCUUCUUGGAUGAGUUGCGAACGGGUGAGUAACGCGUAGGUAACCUGCCUUGUAGCGGGGGAUAACUAUUGGAAACGAUAGCUAAUACCGCAUAACAAUGGAUGACACAUGUCAUUUAUUUGAAAGGGGCAAUUGCUCCACUACAAGAUGGACCUGCGUUGUAUUAGCUAGUAGGUGAGGUAACGGCUCACCUAGGCGACGAUACAUAGCCGACCUGAGAGGGUGAUCGGCCACACUGGGACUGAGACACGGCCCAGACUCCUACGGGAGGCAGCAGUAGGGAAUCUUCGGCAAUGGGGGCAACCCUGACCGAGCAACGCCGCGUGAGUGAAGAAGGUUUUCGGAUCGUAAAGCUCUGUUGUAAGUCAAGAACGAGUGUGAGAGUGGAAAGUUCACACUGUGACGGUAGCUUACCAGAAAGGGACGGCUAACUACGUGCCAGCAGCCGCGGUAAUACGUAGGUCCCGAGCGUUGUCCGGAUUUAUUGGGCGUAAAGCGAGCGCAGGCGGUUUGAUAAGUCUGAAGUUAAAGGCUGUGGCUCAACCAUAGUUCGCUUUGGAAACUGUCAAACUUGAGUGCAGAAGGGGAGAGUGGAAUUCCAUGUGUAGCGGUGAAAUGCGUAGAUAUAUGGAGGAACACCGGUGGCGAAAGCGGCUCUCUGGUCUGUAACUGACGCUGAGGCUCGAAAGCGUGGGGAGCGAACAGGAUUAGAUACCCUGGUAGUCCACGCCGUAAACGAUGAGUGCUAGGUGUUGGAUCCUUUCCGGGAUUCAGUGCCGCAGCUAACGCAUUAAGCACUCCGCCUGGGGAGUACGACCGCAAGGUUGAAACUCAAAGGAAUUGACGGGGGCCCGCACAAGCGGUGGAGCAUGUGGUUUAAUUCGAAGCAACGCGAAGAACCUUACCAGGUCUUGACAUCCCGAUGCUAUUUCUAGAGAUAGAAAGUUACUUCGGUACAUCGGUGACAGGUGGUGCAUGGUUGUCGUCAGCUCGUGUCGUGAGAUGUUGGGUUAAGUCCCGCAACGAGCGCAACCCCUAUUGUUAGUUGCCAUCAUUCAGUUGGGCACUCUAGCGAGACUGCCGGUAAUAAACCGGAGGAAGGUGGGGAUGACGUCAAAUCAUCAUGCCCCUUAUGACCUGGGCUACACACGUGCUACAAUGGUUGGUACAACGAGUUGCGAGUCGGUGACGGCAAGCUAAUCUCUUAAAGCCAAUCUCAGUUCGGAUUGUAGGCUGCGACUCGCCUACAUGAAGUCGGAAUCGCUAGUAAUCGCGGAUCAGCACGCCGCGGUGAAUACGUUCCCGGGCCU
Molecule: ribosomal RNA, 1369 nt
Filed under: uncultured bacterium
Lineage: Bacteria
Description: bacterial SSU rRNA
Rfam family: Bacterial small subunit ribosomal RNA
Source: RNAcentral